AACGCUGGCGGUGUGCUCACACAUGCAAGUCGAACGAGGUAGCAAUACCUAGUGGCGGACGGGUGAGUAACGCGUGGGAAUCUGCCUUUAGAUGGGGGAUAACGGGUCGAAAGACUCGCUAAUACCGCAUAUGACGAAAGUUGAAAGGAGUAAUCCGUCUAAAGAUGAGCCCGCGUCCGAUUAGCUAGUUGGUAGAGUAAGAGCCUACCAAGGCGACGAUCGGUAGCUGGUCUGAGAGGAUGAUCAGCCACAAUGGGACUGAGACACGGCCCAUACUCCUACGGGAGGCAGCAGUGGGGAAUUUUACGCAAUGGGCGAAAGCCUGACGUAGCGACACCGCGUGAGCGAAGAAGCCCCUUGGGGUGUAAAGCUCUGUCAGCUGGAACGAAAAAAAUGACGGUACCAGCAGAGGAAGCAUCGGCUAACUACGUG
This 432-nucleotide ribosomal RNA is filed under the name uncultured bacterium. RNAcentral describes it as "bacterial SSU rRNA". It matches the Rfam family "Bacterial small subunit ribosomal RNA", at positions 32 to 507 of the family's 1533-position model. The record is from RNAcentral.